UUUAGAUUCUCAAUCAUCAGGGUCCAGCAACAAAAAACCCCGACUUUCGGGGUUUUUUGUUAUCUAAAUUUCUCAAGCUGAGAUUUUAGAUAGUUGCUUGGGAUUUAAAUUGGGCUCUGUGCCCUUUUUUU
This 131-nucleotide small RNA is filed under the name Vibrio aestuarianus. Its description in RNAcentral is "rimP". It matches the Rfam family "Gammaprotebacteria rimP leader". Lineage: Bacteria; Pseudomonadati; Pseudomonadota; Gammaproteobacteria; Vibrionales; Vibrionaceae. The record is from RNAcentral.